CUGUUAGGAAGGUAGCCUGGUAGGAAGGUAGCCCGGUAGGGAGGUAGCCUGGUAGGGAGGUAGCCUGGUAGGGAGGUAUUCUUGUAUGAAGGUAGCCUGGUAGGGAGGUAGCCUGGUAGGGAGGUAUUCUUGUAUGAAGGUAGCCUGGUAGGAAGGUAUACUUAUAUGAAGGUAGCCUGGUAGGGAGGUAGCCUGGUAGGGAGGUAUUCUUGUAUGAAGGUAGCCUGGUAGGGAGGUAGCCUGGUAGGGAGGUAGCCUGGUAGGAAGGUAGCCUGGUAGGAAGGUAUACUUAUAUGAAGGUAGCCUGGUAGGGAGGUAGCCUGGUAGGGAGGUAUUCUUGUAUGAAGGUAGCCUGGUAGGGAGGUAGCCUGGUAGGGAGGUAUUCUUGUAUGAAGGUAGCCUGGUAGGGAGGUAGCCUGGUAUGAAGGUAGCCUGGUAUGAAGGUAGCCUGGUAGGGAGGUAGCCUGGUAUGAAGGUAUACUUAUAUGAAGGUAGCCUGGUAGGAAGUUAGCCUGGUAUGAAGGUAGCCUGGUACCAGUUAUGGAAGUAUAUAUGGAAGUUGUUAAAUAUGAGUCACAUUUUUUUUAUUUUGAUCUGUCUUAUAUCUCUCAGUUAUAGGACAGACUUUUAAACAAACGUCCUUUAGAUUUUUUUGGGGGGGGAACUAUUUUGUGAAUUUAUUAUUCAAUGCGUUUCUAUGGGCUAAUAGCAAUACUGUAACUCUUAAGGAUUAAAACACCAUUAUUGCACACAAUGCAACUCUUUGUGACUUGCUAAGCACCUGUUUACUCCUGAAUUUAUUUAGACUUGGCAAUAACAAAGGGGUUGAAUACUUCUUGACUCAAGGCAUGUCAGAUUUU
This 860-nucleotide long non-coding RNA is filed under the name Salmo salar (Atlantic salmon). RNAcentral's name for it is "lncRNA (ENSSSAG00000122175.1)". Lineage: Eukaryota; Metazoa; Chordata; Actinopteri; Salmoniformes; Salmonidae. The record is from RNAcentral.